GUGCAGGCUAGAGGGCUUGGCCCGGCUUUCUAUCAUUCUUGAUGAUAAUGACCUUCGCUGGGUUCGAUUCGUGCGCCAGCACGC
RNAcentral lists this transfer RNA (84 nucleotides) under Pseudomonas taetrolens. Its description in RNAcentral is "tRNA-Lys(ctt)". Lineage: Bacteria; Pseudomonadati; Pseudomonadota; Gammaproteobacteria; Pseudomonadales; Pseudomonadaceae. The record is from RNAcentral.